Long non-coding RNA from Arachis stenosperma, 478 nucleotides. RefSeq lists it as uncharacterized. The transcript is spliced from 3 exons. NCBI's taxonomy places the organism in Eukaryota, Viridiplantae, Streptophyta, Magnoliopsida, Fabales, Fabaceae. The record is from RefSeq and is a predicted model, not a curated record.
CGUUGAAAGCAUUCAGCUCCAGAGAAGGAAAGAAAGAAACACCAAACCCUUACGGUGAACUCCGAACGCCGUAUCUCCUCCGUCCGAGCUCCGAUCGCCGCACCGUUUGUGGCCACGCGACCACCGCAUCGAGCUCUACGUUUCUACCGGAACAAUUUCAUAGGUUGUGAAUAAAUAAUUGGAGCUUGAAAUUGUGAAUAUUGGAACUUGGAGGAAGCUGAUUAGUUGAAUUUUGAAGGGGUGCCUUGGUUUUAAAUAAUUUGCUUUGGUCGUUAUGUGGAAAUCGGCCAAGAUGCAGGUCGAGAGGCAUCUCGUUAGGCGUCUAGACUCUUGAGGCGGAGUGGUUACUGGGAUAUUUUGUUAUGCUAUGAUGUAUAUAUAUGUACUUAGCUUUCUCUCCGCAUGACUCAUUCUUUUUGAUCCUCUUAGAGGUUUAUGGAGAGGCAGGAUUGUGUAUAUGUACUUUUGGGUUUUGGAU